GACGAACGCUGGCGGCGUGCUUAACACAUGCAAGUCGAGCGGUAAGGCCCUUUCGGGGGUACACGAGCGGCGAACGGGUGAGUAACACGUGGGUGACCUGCCCUCAGCUCUGGGAUAAGCCCGGGAAACUGGGUCUAAUACCGGAUAUGACUCCAUGACGCAUGUUGUGGGGUGGAAAGCCUUGUGCGGCUGAGGAUGGGCCCGCGGCCUAUCAGCUUGUUGGUGGGGUGAUGGCCUACCAAGGCGACGACGGGUAGCCGGCCUGAGAGGGCUACCGGCCACACUGGGACUGAGACACGGCCCAGACUCCUACGGGAGGCAGCAGUGGGGAAUCUUGCGCAAUGGGCGAAAGCCUGACGCAGCGACGCCGCGUGAGGGAUGACGGCCUCGG
This 391-nucleotide ribosomal RNA is filed under the name uncultured bacterium. RNAcentral's name for it is "bacterial SSU rRNA". It matches the Rfam family "Bacterial small subunit ribosomal RNA", at positions 28 to 420 of the family's 1533-position model. The record is from RNAcentral.